AGUGUUCACACUGUUGUAUGGAGCUGCUAAAUAUCUAUCUAUAAUAAUAUAUUGCAGUGUUCGGUUUAAUUCUUAAGUUAUCUAACUUGAUUUUUCUUGUAAAAGCCAAGUAUAAAAGCACUGUGCAACUCUAAUUACACAUCUUAUUGAAUACAUACUUCUUCCAAAAAACCACUAAAAUUAUAAUUGGGGAAUAAAAAAGGCAUAAAACCACAAAGUCAAAUAGAACAGAAGAGGAGACAAUGGAAGACAUGUCAACGUACUAGGAGCUUGAAUUCUAGGAUUUUUUUUUUUUUUUUGGUGUGUGUGUGUGUGUGUGUUGGUGGGAAUUGAACCCAGGGCCAUACACAUGUGAGGCAAAUAUUCUACCACUGAGCUACACCCCCGGCCCAACAUUUUGGGAGCUUGAAAUCAGCAGGCUCGGGUAGUUAUACCUGAGAAUGCUAAAAUCAUCCUUCAAUGUGGGAAAGACAAUAAGAAAUCAGCUGAUUCCUGGUAUAGACCCUUUCCAAGGAAUCAGGGCCCUCUGAAAACUGGGUUAUAGGGCUAGGGCUAUGACUCAGUGGAAAAGUUUUUGCUUAACAUGCUCAAGGUCCUGAAUUCAAUCCCCAGCACCGAAAAGAGAAAAUAGAUUAAAGCAUGGAGUGGGGAAGAAAAACAAGAAGUUUUUUUGUUUGUUUGUUUUUGUUGUUAUUUCGUUUUUGAGAUAAAAUGUUUCACUAUAUUGCCCAGGCUCUGGGCUUAAACUACCAAUUCUCCUGCCUCAACUCCCAGGAGCUGGAGUUACAGGCAUGUACCACCAUGCCCAGCUAAAUUGUAAGUUUUUAAAAGCAGAACUCUAGAAGUCUUCCUUCUGUAUAACCCAGAGCAACUGUCUUCACAUAGCAUGGCAGCAGAGUAGAAUCUUACUCCGAGGACAGAUGUGGUUGAGAUCCUCCUGUAUUCUUAAGAGGUGGAAUGUAACUAAAUGGGAAGACCCAUAGCAGCAGUUGGCUUAGAGAACCAACAUAUACAUAUAAAGUUUCCUAACUUCAGAUCUUCACAGAAAAAGAAGUAUUGCUAGGGCAAGAGUAAGAAAUUUAAAUACAAUAGCAAAAAUGGAAAAACCCUACAACAGAUAGAUUAAAAUUGACAUUGAAGAAAACUCCAGGAUAAGAGGAAGAAAAGGAUAAUGAGUGGAAAAGAAAGAGAAGGGAAGGCCAAUGUGUAACUAUUAGGAAUUUAUUACAGAGAAGACAAAGCAUGAAAUAUUGAGAGAAACCGUACAAAAAGUAACCGAGAAAUAAAGAACUCAAGUGCAGAUUGACAGGGUCACUGAGUAUUUGAUGUAAUAAUGUGACUAUAGAGCUUAUGAGGAUUCUAUCCAUUUUUGUCAGAGCACUUAACAGUCUUUCACUUUAUCAAAUUGGGUAAACAUGAAUUGGAUUAUGGUAUGUGGAGAUUGAAAAGCCUUACCAAAGAGUUCUGUUAAAUGUGUAAGUAUUAGUCUGUAGGAAAGUCAUCUUGGAUUUAUUCAGUACUUUUGUCAGUGAUUUAGGUGAGAAUGUUGACAGAAUUUUGACCAAAUUGAUUUGAAACUAAGAAAAUAAGUUAGGUAAAAGUACAUGAAUGUAAAAAUACUUUGAAUUUAGAGGAAUCUAUUUAAUAGUAACUUGAAAUUUAAUGAACAUAUGUGAGAACCACCCAAAGUACCAAAUUUAUAAGUACUGUUUUCUUUUUCUGGAGGUCAGAGCUGCAGGGACACCAGUAAUAUAGUAGGAAUUUCCAGAUCUGAUAGAAAGUUGGCAGGAUGAUCUCUCAGAUCCCUUGAAAUCCUUAAACUCACAGAUACAUUUAAAUGAAAAUGUAUCACAUAUAAGUAAAAAUGUAAGAACAUUUUGCCUUAACACUAGUCUAGAGUACAACAUACUGUUGAGAGCCACAGCCAAUGGCCCCUGGCAUUUUGCCAGAAGUAAUAAUGGUUGAGAGGUGAGCCAUUAAGAUAAUGCUGGAUUGAUUCAAUUGUAUAUUAGACUUUUACUGUCUGGUAAUAGGAUGGCUCUUGCUGCAGGGCGCCCACGCUACUUUGGAGUUCCUGUUGAGUUCUCGCGGGGUUCUGAGAGUGAGUGCAUGCGCAGCCCAGGGGAGGGAGUUCCCGUUGGUGUGUGGUGUUCCUGGAGGAGCCGUGUGGGUGGCGUUCGGGAGAAUUCCCCAUGGAGUGUGUGUGGAGUGUGCUGGUGGAGUUCAGAAAUAAAGUUUGUUCCUGCUUGAGUGGCUCAUGAUUUGUGCCCAGCCAGACUGCGGCAACAUACCAUCUGCAUUUUGAGCACAUAAUGGUAGGUAUUUGAGAUUGUUAGAUAUAAUUUUUUUUUUUUUUCAGAUACACACCCACCUCUUUUAUUAAAACUUCUAUACGUGAGAAAACAUGCAAUAUUUGUCUUUCUGGGUCUGGCUUCUUUCACAUCACCUAAUGUCUCCCAUUUCCAUCUGCUUUGUUGGAAAUGAC
This 2485-nucleotide long non-coding RNA is filed under the name Marmota monax (woodchuck). Lineage: Eukaryota; Metazoa; Chordata; Mammalia; Rodentia; Sciuridae. The record is from RNAcentral.